Gopherus agassizii (Agassiz's desert tortoise) is the source of this 179-nucleotide small nuclear RNA. Its record names the gene U4. It matches the Rfam family "U4 spliceosomal RNA". Rfam says of the family: U4 small nuclear RNA (U4 snRNA) is a component of the major U2-dependent spliceosome. The record is from Ensembl. Lineage: Eukaryota; Metazoa; Chordata; Testudines; Testudinidae.
CCACUUCAGCAGUGGCAGUAUCGUAGCCAAUGAGGUUAAUCCGAGGCGCGAUUAUUGCUAAUUGAAAACUUUACCUCAAAGAAAGCAAAUCCACAGAGAGAAACUGCAUUAAACUACCUUACACUAGACUUUCUAAAAUAGCCUCUCCGUGUGCUCACACUUGUUAGUCACUAAAGUGG